Molecule: long non-coding RNA, 1195 nt
Organism: Homo sapiens (human)
Lineage: Eukaryota; Metazoa; Chordata; Mammalia; Primates; Hominidae
Exons: 3
Source: RefSeq, a predicted model, not a curated record
UUUUAUUCAUAUUAGCCUCAAACUGGAAAAAACCCAAAUGUCCAUCUGUAGUAGAAUGGACCCACUGUGGCAUAUUCAUAUAAUGCAAUGCAAACCAGCAGUGAAAAAGACCAGACUGCAGCUGCAUACAACAUGGAUGCAUCUCGCAGACAUGGCGUGAGACCGAAGCAGCUCAUGGGAGAGCGCGAUUCUAUUUCUGUGAAGUUUCUGCAGAACGAGGGCUUGCUGAGGUCACAACCCAAAUUCCUACAGCAUGUGGAAGGGAGCAAGAAAAGGCAAAGCUACUCUAAAGUGAUAGAACAGUUUAUCUAUCUAUCAGUAACAAGUAGCUGUGUUUGGGAGCCAGAACAGGAUUGCUGGUUACUGAGAGGGAGCAAGAGAGAGCCUUUUGGAGUGCUGGAAUGUUCUGGGUCUUCUUGAUCUGGGGGAGUGAAGGCUUCACGGAGCCUACUUGUACAAACGUGCAUUGGGCUGGUCACUGAAAGUGUAUAUACUUCACUGUAUGUAUGUCGUAUCCUCAAAACACGAGGGAAAAAAAGAGCCGCAAAGGGCAACAACUUGUCCUUUAUCUUAGAAUCGCUGUCUUGGCAUGCCACAGACUACAGGACUUCUAAAAGCUUCAGUGUUGAAGCUCCUGAAUCUUCAUAGGGUGUAUCUCCCAUCUGGUGCACAUGUGUCUUCCUGAGUGUCUUCCUACGGCACCAGGUCUAACUGAUAUGACAACAUCAAUAUGGCGGAACAGCAUGAUGUGUGUGGAAGGUCUGGAUGAGCACUGUACCUGCAGAUCACAUGUGACAGAGAGAAGAAGGUUACACAGCCUGGGGAAGUCUAGUGGAUUGUGCCAUCCCGACCACCAGGUGAGCAAAAGUGACCUGCACCACUGCCAGGCCUGACCCAAAAGCCUCCCCAGAGGUUCCUUCUAUGUUCUUCCUGGGGUGAUGACAAUCAACACAACAUUGGAAACCACGUGUUCAAGAUGGCAGAGCCACCAUCAGCCUGGUUCCUGAAUGACCACGUGGAGCAACAUGGAAUAUCCAAGUGAGCAAGAAAUAGAGUCUUAUCUUCUUGCUUCAUUAUAUUUCGGAUAUUCUUGAAAAGGGGUUCAGCCUACCCCAAAUACAAGAGACAUGAAAGAAAAGGAUAAAGAUGAAAAAUAAGUGAAUGGUGUCAAGUGAAAUAAACAAUGUAACACUGA